GACGAACGCUGGCGGCGUGCCUAAUACAUGCAAGUAGAACGCUGAAGAGAGGAGCUUGCUCUUCUUGGAUGAGUUGCGAACGGGUGAGUAACGCGUAGGUAACCUGCCUUGUAGCGGGGGAUAACUAUUGGAAACGAUAGCUAAUACCGCAUAACAAUGGAUGACACAUGUCAUUUAUUUGAAAGGGGCAAUUGCUCCACUACAAGAUGGACCUGCGUUGUAUUAGCUAGUAGGUGAGGUAAUGUCUCACCUAGGCGACGAUACAUAGCCGACCUGAGAGGGUGAUCGGCCACACUGGGACUGAGUCACGGCCCAGACUCCUACGGGAGGCAGCAGUAGGGAAUCUUCGGCAAUGGGGGCAACCCUGACCGAGCAACGCCGCGUGAGUGAAGAAGGUUUUCGGAUCGUAAAGCUCUGUUGUAAGUCAAGAACGGGUGUGAGAGUGGAAAGUUCACACUGUGACGGUAGCUUACCAGAAAGGGACGGCUAACUACGUG
Molecule: ribosomal RNA, 497 nt
Filed under: uncultured bacterium
Lineage: Bacteria
Description: partial 16S ribosomal RNA
Rfam family: Bacterial small subunit ribosomal RNA
Source: RNAcentral